GGGCCCGUAGCUCAGCUUGGAUAGAGCAACCUCAUCCCUGAGGAUGAGGCUCGAGCCGGCCUUCUAAGCCGGGGGCCGCGGGUUCGAGUCCCGCCGGGCCCGCCA
This 105-nucleotide transfer RNA is filed under the name marine sediment metagenome. It matches the Rfam family "tRNA". Rfam says of the family: Transfer RNA (tRNA) molecules are approximately 80 nucleotides in length. Their secondary structure includes four short double-helical elements and three loops (D, anti-codon, and T loops). Further hydrogen bonds mediate the characteristic L-shaped molecular structure. tRNAs have two regions of fundamental functional importance: the anti-codon, which is responsible for specific mRNA codon recognition, and the 3' end, to which the tRNAs corresponding amino acid is attached (by aminoacyl-tRNA synthetases). tRNAs cope with the degeneracy of the genetic code in two manners: having more than one tRNA (with a specific anti-codon) for a particular amino acid; and 'wobble' base-pairing, i.e. permitting non-standard base-pairing at the 3rd anti-codon position. The record is from RNAcentral.